This 465-nucleotide ribosomal RNA is filed under the name Vreelandella stevensii. Its description in RNAcentral is "partial 16S ribosomal RNA". It matches the Rfam family "Bacterial small subunit ribosomal RNA", at positions 338 to 795 of the family's 1533-position model. The record is from RNAcentral. Lineage: Bacteria; Pseudomonadati; Pseudomonadota; Gammaproteobacteria; Oceanospirillales; Halomonadaceae.
CCUACGGGUGGCUGCAGUGGGGAAUAUUGGACAAUGGGCGAAAGCCUGAUCCAGCCAUGCCGCGUGUGUGAAGAAGGCCUUCGGGUUGUAAAGCACUUUCAGUGGGGAAGAAAGCCUUGGGGCUAAUACCCUCGAGGAAGGACAUCACCCACAGAAGAAGCACCGGCUAACUCCGUGCCAGCAGCCGCGGUAAUACGGAGGGUGCGAGCGUUAAUCGGAAUUACUGGGCGUAAAGCGCGCGUAGGCGGUCUGAUAAGCCGGUUGUGAAAGCCCCGGGCGCAACCUGGGAACGGCAUCCGGAACUGUCAGGCUAGAGUGCAGGAGAGGAAGGUAGAAUUCCCGGUGUAGCGGUGAAAUGCGUAGAGAUCGGGAGGAAUACCAGUGGCGAAGGCGGCCUUCUGGACUGACACUGACGCUGAGGUGCGAAAGCGUGGGUAGCAAACAGGAUUAGAUACCCGAGUAGUC